This is an unclassified non-coding RNA of Macaca fascicularis (crab-eating macaque), 156 nucleotides long. It matches the Rfam family "Metazoan signal recognition particle RNA". Rfam says of the family: The signal recognition particle (SRP) is a universally conserved ribonucleoprotein. It is involved in the co-translational targeting of proteins to membranes. The eukaryotic SRP consists of a 300-nucleotide 7S RNA and six proteins: SRPs 72, 68, 54, 19, 14, and 9. Lineage: Eukaryota; Metazoa; Chordata; Mammalia; Primates; Cercopithecidae. The record is from Ensembl.
UGCCGACUGGGUGCCUGCACUAAGUUCGGCAUCAAUAUGGUGACUUCCUGGGAGUGGGGUCCACCAAGUUGCCUAAGGAUGGCUGAACUGGCCCAGGUCAGAAAUGGAGCAGGUCAGAACUCCAGCACUGACCGGUAGUGGGACUGUGCCUGGGCA